Molecule: ribosomal RNA, 253 nt
Filed under: uncultured bacterium
Lineage: Bacteria
Description: partial 16S ribosomal RNA
Rfam family: Bacterial small subunit ribosomal RNA
Source: RNAcentral
UACGGAGGGUGCGAGCGUUAAUCGGAAUAACUGGGCGUAAAGGGCACGCAGGCGGGCUUUUAAGUGAGGUGUGAAAUCCCCGGGCUUAACCUGGGAAUAGCAUUUCAGACUGGGAGUCUAGAGUACUUUAGGGAGGGGUAGAAUUCCACGUGUAGCGGUGAAAUGCGUAGAGAUGUGGAGGAAUACCGAAGGCGAAGGGAGCACCUUGGGAAUGUACUGACGAUAAUGUGAGAAAGCGUGGGGAGCAAACAGG